UACAGAGGCCACAAGCGUUAAUCGGAAUCACUGGGCUUAAAGGGUGCGUAGGCGGUCCCGCAAGUGCUUUGUGAAAACCCAUCGCGCAACGAUGGAAUGGCUCGGCAUACUGCGGGACUUGAGGUCGGUAGAGGUCGUCGGAACAGUAGGUGGAGCGGUGAAAUGCGUAGAUAUCUACUGGAACGCCAAAGGGGAAGACAGGCGACUGGGCCGAUUCUGACGCUGAGGCACGAAAGCGUGGGGAGCGAACGGG
This 253-nucleotide ribosomal RNA is filed under the name uncultured bacterium. RNAcentral's name for it is "partial 16S ribosomal RNA". It matches the Rfam family "Bacterial small subunit ribosomal RNA", at positions 524 to 776 of the family's 1533-position model. The record is from RNAcentral.